UGGCGGCCUUAGCGCGGUGGUCCCACCUGAGCCCAUGCCGAACUCAGAAGUGAAACGCCGUAGCGCCGAUGGUAGUGUGGGGUCUCCCCAUGCGAGAGUAGGGAACUGCCAGGCA
This 115-nucleotide ribosomal RNA is filed under the name Escherichia coli. The record is from RNAcentral. Lineage: Bacteria; Pseudomonadati; Pseudomonadota; Gammaproteobacteria; Enterobacterales; Enterobacteriaceae.